This 65-nucleotide transfer RNA is filed under the name Dendrochiton gothicus. Its description in RNAcentral is "tRNA-Glu". Lineage: Eukaryota; Metazoa; Mollusca; Polyplacophora; Chitonida; Mopaliidae. The record is from RNAcentral.
AGAUAAGUAGUGUAAAUUGUGCACAGUUAAUUUUCAUUUAAUUAGAGUAUAAAUAUACCUAUCUG